RNAcentral lists this ribosomal RNA (799 nucleotides) under Aspergillus fennelliae. RNAcentral's name for it is "SSU rRNA". It matches the Rfam family "Eukaryotic small subunit ribosomal RNA", at positions 115 to 924 of the family's 1831-position model. RNAcentral also lists the same sequence under 1 other name. Lineage: Eukaryota; Fungi; Ascomycota; Eurotiomycetes; Eurotiales; Aspergillaceae. The record is from RNAcentral.
GUUUAUUUGAUAGUACCUUACUACAUGGAUACCUGUGGUAAUUCUAGAGCUAAUACAUGCUAAAAACCUCGACUUCGGAAGGGGUGUAUUUAUUAGAUAAAAAACCAAUGCCCUUCGGGGCUCCUUGGUGAAUCAUAAUAACUUAACGAAUCGCAUGGCCUUGCGCCGGCGAUGGUUCAUUCAAAUUUCUGCCCUAUCAACUUUCGAUGGUAGGAUAGUGGCCUACCAUGGUGGCAACGGGUAACGGGGAAUUAGGGUUCGAUUCCGGAGAGGGAGCCUGAGAAACGGCUACCACAUCCAAGGAAGGCAGCAGGCGCGCAAAUUACCCAAUCCCGACACGGGGAGGUAGUGACAAUAAAUACUGAUACGGGGCUCUUUUGGGUCUCGUAAUUGGAAUGAGUACAAUUUAAAUCCCUUAACGAGGAACAAUUGGAGGGCAAGUCUGGUGCCAGCAGCCGCGGUAAUUCCAGCUCCAAUAGCGUAUAUUAAAGUUGUUGCAGUUAAAAAGCUCGUAGUUGAACCUUGGGUCUGGCUGGCCGGUCCGCCUCACCGCGAGUACUGGUCCGGCUGGACCUUUCCUUCUGGGGAACCCCAUGGCCUUCACUGGCUGUGGGGGGAACCAGGACUUUUACUGUGAAAAAAUUAGAGUGUUCAAAGCAGGCCUUUGCUCGAAUACAUUAGCAUGGAAUAAUAGAAUAGGACGUGCGGUUCUAUUUUGUUGGUUUCUAGGACCGCCGUAAUGAUUAAUAGGGAUAGUCGGGGGCGUCAGUAUUCAGCUGUCAGAGGUGAAAUUCUUGGA